RNAcentral lists this ribosomal RNA (497 nucleotides) under uncultured bacterium. RNAcentral describes it as "partial 16S ribosomal RNA". It matches the Rfam family "Bacterial small subunit ribosomal RNA", at positions 28 to 507 of the family's 1533-position model. The record is from RNAcentral.
GAUGAACGCUGGCGGCGUGCCUAACACAUGCAAGUCGAGCGAACGGACGAGAAGCUUGCUUCUCUGAUGUUAGCGGCGGAAGGGUGAGUAACACGUGGAUAACCUACCUAUAAGACUGGGAUAACUUCGGGAAACCGGAGCUAAUACCGGAUGAUAUUUUGAACCGCAUGGUUCAAAAGUGAAAGACGGUCUUGCUGUCACUUAUAGAUGGAUCCGCGCUGCAUUAGCUAGUUGGUAAGGUAACGGCUUACCAAGGCAACGAUGCAUAGCCGACCUGAGAGGGUGAUCGGCCACACUGGCACUGAGACACGGUCCAGACUCCUACGGGAGGCAGCAGUGGGGAAGCUUGGGCAAUGGGCGAAAGCCUGACGGAGCAACGCCGCGUGAGUGAUGAAGGUCUUCGGGUCGUAAAACUCUGUUAUUAGGGAAGAACAUAUGUGUAAGUAACUGUGCACGUCGUGACGGUACCUAAUCAAAAAGCCACGGCUAACUACGUG